Long non-coding RNA from Solanum tuberosum (potato), 249 nucleotides. RefSeq lists it as uncharacterized. The record is from RefSeq and is a predicted model, not a curated record. Lineage: Eukaryota; Viridiplantae; Streptophyta; Magnoliopsida; Solanales; Solanaceae. The transcript is spliced from 2 exons.
UCGUAAUAUUGUGCAAUAACAACAACAAUAUACCCAGUGUAGUCUCACAAGUGAGGUCUAGGGAGGUUGGGGUGUACGCACACCUUACUCCUAUCUUUGAUACAUAUUGUGCAUUUAGUAUAUUUUGUAAAUGAAUAACAAUAGGUUCCAGAUCAAACCCCUAUUCAAGAGCUUGCAUUUCUCAAAGCAUGUUGAGCUCGUGUACAGCACAGGUAACAACGACUAGUAAAAAUACAAAUAGAGAAAAAA